This 1067-nucleotide long non-coding RNA is filed under the name Monodelphis domestica (gray short-tailed opossum). RNAcentral describes it as "lncRNA (ENSMODG00000043663.1)". Lineage: Eukaryota; Metazoa; Chordata; Mammalia; Didelphimorphia; Didelphidae. The record is from RNAcentral.
UGUGGGGGGUCUUGGGGAAUCAGUGGGAAACAGACCCCUUGGGGAGCAAGUUCUGGAUGUCUUGAGGAGUCAGCAUGUUGGAGACAAUGGACUCCCAAUCAAGGACAGGCUCUAUGGGUGCUGGGGAGUCAUCAGGGGAGAGAAAUAAAGAGGGGCAGAGUCUACAAGCCCCUAGGAAGUAAAUAGUAGUUGAGAUACAGAGAUCUUUAAGGAGGAGGUAGCCCCCUGCAGAGGGGAAGAGCAUGAGGGUUAUAGGAGGAUGAGCAGAGGGUAGGUACGUGCAAUUUUAUAGAGGGAAAUUGUCUGUCUCUGGAGUUAGUGUGAUGGAGGCCCAGUGCCCCUUUGUCAGUGGGAAGUUGUGAAUGGGCUGGCAAGUUAGGAGAUCUAGAGGUUUGGAGCAGAGCCUGAGGAGACCUUGGGAAGUCAAUGUGGGGAGAAACAGACACACUGGGGAAGGGCCUGCUAUAUGGGCCUACUAUGUGCAGGCCCUGUGCUAAGUGCUUUAUGCUAUCUCAUUUGAUUCUCACAAUUAUCUUCAUGUUUUUACACAUGAGUAAAUUGAGGCAGACAGAUGAAAUAACUUGUCUGGGGUAACUCAACUAGUAAAUGUCUAAGGCAGGGGGAGGAAGAGUGAGAACCCUGUGUAGGGGAUAGCUUUGGGGGAGACUAGGGAUUUGGUGAGGGACACAGAACUUUUGUGGUGGACGAUGUGGGCAACUUAAGAGUUAUUGAGGGGAGACCCAGACGAAUGGCCAGCUGCUGUGGGAGUCUGGAGGGUCCCUAUGGAGAAGAGUUUUGGAUUGUCUACGCCAUGCAUCUCUGGUCACGACAUGGAGAAUGUGGAACUACACCACUGCUCAGAGGACCUGAGAUCUCAGCGGAAUGGAGGACUCCCAACGGACAGACAACUUUAGGAGAUGUAUCGUGGGGAAUAAAAAAGAAUUCAUGUGUUCUUCUAAGGGUGGACAUCCAUCCUACCCCGCAUCAGGAAUGAAAGCCUCUUUAGGCCUGCAGAAUAAGACCUAAAGGAUGUUUGGUUAACACCACAGGCCCAGUGAGUUAGGAGA